This 240-nucleotide long non-coding RNA is filed under the name Vigna radiata. Its description in RNAcentral is "long non-coding RNA (VRAD_LNC016616)". Lineage: Eukaryota; Viridiplantae; Streptophyta; Magnoliopsida; Fabales; Fabaceae. The record is from RNAcentral.
GCCGAUCCACUCUUCAUGGGUCAUCGAAUUCAUGCACACAACCAAGGGGGUUCACUUAUAAAACCCAUCCUGGCAGCUUUGUAUCACACUUUUGAAUAUUGAGAGAAUUGAAAUGCUGUUGAAGCUUUUUCUCCCAUCGAAAGUCACUCCUUGUGCUUCUUUCCCUUCUCCUCUAGCUUCCUUCCUCAAGAGGGCUUUCUGAGCUAGAUUCACUUACGACUUGAAGCACUUCAUCCACCC